GUACCCUCAAGCUCUGCUUGGUGUUGGGUGUUUGUCUCGCCUUUGCGCGCAGACUCGCCUCAAAACAAUUGGCAGCCGGCGUAUUGAUUUCGGAGCGCAGUACAUCUCGCACUCUGCCUUCAGAACGACGGCGUCCAGAAGUACAUUUUUACAC
Molecule: unclassified non-coding RNA, 154 nt
Filed under: uncultured Phoma
Lineage: Eukaryota; Fungi; Ascomycota
Description: sequence contains ITS2
Source: RNAcentral